This 841-nucleotide long non-coding RNA is filed under the name Ananas comosus (pineapple). RNAcentral's name for it is "long non-coding RNA (ACOM_LNC025393)". The record is from RNAcentral. Lineage: Eukaryota; Viridiplantae; Streptophyta; Magnoliopsida; Poales; Bromeliaceae.
GAGAGAGAGAUUUAGGCUCUAUAAUAUUUAUAGUAUCGGGGCUCCGAUCAAUACUAUCGUCUUAUUUUCAAUUUUAGAAUAUUCAGAUUAACAAUUCAUAUCGUUAAAAAUGAUUUAAAAUAUUUAAUAUUUUUAGAAAUAAAAUUUUAUAUUUUUUUUCGACCUAAUUUACUUUAUAAUCAUGCCACUCAUAAUUGUCAAUUUUCAAUGAUUUAUGUGGUGAGUUUGUAGUUUAACACUGUAAAAAAAUCUAAAUUUAUUCAAAUUUUAAUAGAAAAUAUUUUAAACUAUCUAGAUCAAGGUCAACAUCCUUAAUCUUGAAUUUAAAAUUUUUAUCUUCAAAUUUUAAAGAUGUUCAAUUUUUACUGUUCAUUUUGACAUGAUUUACUUACUAAAUAAACAAUAUUGAAAAAAAUUAAAAUUUUAUAUUUAAGAACUUUAUAUACCCUAAAUCAUAUUUAAUGGUGUGAAUCAUUGAUUUGAACACAUUAAGAUCGAAAAUAAGACUAUACAUCAUAGCUUCAGUAUUAUAGAUAGUGCAGUAAACUCGUUCUAUAUAUAUAUAGAGAGGGGGGGUUCGGCUAUGGUGCUUUUAGAAGCACCAAGUACUUGUUGCUCAUAAGUUUUCCUCGUUUAAUCUAUUUUUUUUUGACCAAUUCCACCUUUUAGAUCAUCCUAUUUUACUAACAUCCGCUCAACCCUAGAGAACCACUAUUAUUCUAACCCUAUAAAUUUUUAUUAAGGUGCUGAAAAUUCAAAGCACCAAUAACUUAAUACUUUAAAAGCAUAAAAAGUCAAUUAUAUAUAUACACGUGAACCUAUCAACAUGUUACAUAUAUCU